RNAcentral lists this microRNA (19 nucleotides) under Schistosoma mansoni. Its description in RNAcentral is "sma-miR-8421-3p". The record is from miRBase by way of RNAcentral. Lineage: Eukaryota; Metazoa; Platyhelminthes; Trematoda; Strigeidida; Schistosomatidae.
GGAUCUAACAGUAUAAGGU